AGUGAACGCUGGCGGUAGGCCUAACACAUGCAAGUCGAACGGCAGCACAGCAGUAGCAAUACUGUGGGUGGCGAGUGGCGGACGGGUGAGGAAUACGAUCCGGGAAAUCUACCUUUUCGUGGGGGAUAACGUAGGGAAACUUACGGCUAAGUACCGCAUACGACCUUAGGGUGAAAGUAGGGGAUCGCAAGACCUUACGCGGAUAGAUGAGCCGAUGUCGGAUUAGCUAGNGGCGGGGUAAAGGCCCACCAAGGCUACGAUCCGUAGCUGGUCUGAGAGGAUGAUCAGCCACACUGGAACUGAGACACGGUCCAGACUCCUACGGGAGGCAGCAGUGGGAAUAUUGGACAAUGGGCGCAAGCCU
Molecule: ribosomal RNA, 364 nt
Filed under: uncultured bacterium
Lineage: Bacteria
Description: bacterial SSU rRNA
Rfam family: Bacterial small subunit ribosomal RNA
Source: RNAcentral